This 5336-nucleotide long non-coding RNA is filed under the name Manihot esculenta (cassava). RNAcentral describes it as "long non-coding RNA (MESC_LNC002559)". Lineage: Eukaryota; Viridiplantae; Streptophyta; Magnoliopsida; Malpighiales; Euphorbiaceae. The record is from RNAcentral.
UGAAAGUGGAGAAGAGUGAUCAUUUCCCUCUCUGCAGGCUGGAAAAAAGCAUGUUUGAUGUUUGCAAACAUAACAUCCACACGCUCAUCACUUCUACUAGUUGAAAAUCUAAAUCCAUUUACAUGAGCUUCCAGAGCACCAGGUAGUUUUCUUCCCCGGCCACCAAAUGCUGGACGGAUCCAAAGGUCCGCCAACCUUAUUGGCUUGAAUCUACUCCCAGCAAGCUGAAGUUUCUCCUGAGUAACCAAGGUUGCCCUCUCAGCCCUCUCAGACUCCCUAGCCACAACAUGCCGUCUAAGUGUCUUAAUCUGCUGUACCACUUCACUGAUGUGCCUAGGGUCCUUGGACCGAAAUGAAACUUCCUUCAGGUAAAUAGCCCCUGGGUACUUCAGUGAAUUUGCAUCGUGUGGACUAAAAGGAGUUCCCGGCACAUUAAAUAUAAUACGGAUAUAGCAAUUUCUGUUGGUGUCUUGCUGGCUGGAAACUGUCCUGAUUGUAGCAACAUGGAAAGGUACCAUACUCCCAUAAAUAGGCAGAAGCACAGCCUCAUUCUUCUGGUCUAUCUGAAUCAUUAGAUCUCUUGCAGGAGGAAUAUCAUUGACAUUCUUGUAUGCUAUCAAAUCAGUUGAAGUCUUUGCAGCUCCACGGUUGUCUCCUGUUGCUCUUUCUUCACCAGUAAGUCGCCUUGCAGUUUCUUCAUUCUUUUGACGGGCAAGCUCCGCCUGGUGCUGCCUGCGAAUCUCCUCCUUUGAGAUCUCCCCUGAAUCAGACCUUAGUGUUGUCUUGGACAUGAAGGCCUUUGUGCCAUUAGCCCCAGGUUUAGGUUCUGGUUUUACUUCAUCCUCUUCAGUGAAAGAGUAAGCCACAUCUUUAACAGCUUUUGAGCUCUUACAAGUUGCCACUUCUGGAUUUGUUUGGCCUACAAUAACAGUAUCAGCAACUAAUAGAGAAUAAUUCCGGAUCUUUGGGUUAUUUGUUUGGUUCUGUAAGUUCUGAAAACCGAGUGACAAAUUAAAAAUCAUAUUUGGCCUCAACGAUCGAUCAUUCUUGGCAUUAAGAUUCAGGCCAGACUCACGGAACUCAAGCCCAAUCCCUGUACCUACUGAUUUUGUCAGAUAGGGAACUAAUUCAGGAGCCUCUUUCUCAACCACUGACACAGCUGCUUGAUACACAGCACUGAUCUUGUUCCCAGGCUUUAAUGCACCAAUUGCUGCUUCAUGGGCUUUGAGCAGAACCUCAUAAGCCUUUCUCUGCAUUGGAUUGGCAUCAAUCAAGAAUGUCCUGGCAAGGUUUGAACAGUAAUUGUUAUAUCGGGCUCCAAUUGCAACUAUGAUGACACUGGCAGGAUCAUAGUAGAGAUACUCAUCAUUGCUGGCAGCACUGGGUCUGAGAUCAAAUUCUCCUCCACUUUGAAAUAUGGGAGGGUAACAUAUAUCACAAUUUUCUGCUUUUAACUUCGCCCUAGCUUUGGCAGGAUCCAUUAUGGCCUUCUCUGCGUCAUCCAUCAAAGCAGAAUGGGUAACUUUCUUCUCCUCAUCAAUAGCAUUCUCAAGAGUGGGAAUGACAACAUUGCUCAUCACACUAACACUCAAAUAAGCAGCUUUCUUUACAUUCAAAAUCUCUUCAGCAUCCUUGAAAGCAAGCAGGUCAGAAAACCCAUUAGUUACAUCGGCAAUCUGCUGGAAACCUGCAGUCUUCAGUUUUUCAGCCCAAGUCUCCAAAAGAGUACCUUCUGGAACCUCCUUGGCUAUGUAUCCAACAACACUAGCAUUUGGCUGCGCUCGAAUAGCACGAAAUAUAGCUUCCAUUAAUGUUGUCCCAUCAUCCCCCUUUGCCUUGACAUGAAUAACAACAUCUAUACCUCCCGCAACAUCAUGAGCAGGUGUUCUCAAAACCUCAAGCAAAGCAGCCUUCUUUUGACUACACAAGAAAUGAAUCUGCUUCUUGGUAAAUACCAUUAUAGUGUCCGGGAACUCAUAACCUAGUAACCAAAGAUUCAUGGCGGAUGAUUUCAGGUACCGCAAAUCAUCCGAAGGUGGCGGCGUAGCUAUUGCAAGCGCAUCAGCAGACCCCCAUAGUUCAUCCUUGUGUUUAUUCCAAUGCGAAUACAGUGUCUUAAGUCGUAGUUUGAACUUAUCGGUGUUAAUCUUAUAUGCAUUUUGGCCCCCGCUAGGGUUCCGCUGGUCAGCCAUAUGGGUUCCUCAGCCCUGACAAGCCAAUUUUCAAUCCAGAAAGAAAAAAAGUAAAAGAAAAAUUCGACACCAGUUGUGGUUUAAAACACCUAGUUCUGGCGGCGCCGCACCAUAAUCAGUACGAAAAAGAGAAAAUACUAGGUUUAGGGUUAUGGAACAAGCCAAAACACAAUUGACUCUGGAAUAGAGAAAACGAACAAAAACACAGAAAUAAAAGAAGGAUAAUUCAGGGAAAAAAGAGACCAAGUUUCUCGAAGAUCCAGUAGAAGAAAGAAACUUACCGGAAUCGAAGAACAAGCUUCAAAAAAUGAAAAGGGAGAACUCGAGAGAAGAGAGUGAGUGAAAUUUUUGUUUCCUUUAAUGUUUUGGACUUCCGAACUCAAUAAGAAGUUCUUGCGUAAAUUAGUACUUUUUAUCAAAUUAAUUAAUUAGUUCCCACUUUUUUUUCAAAGUUAAAAUUCAAUUCAUUAUAAAUGAGGCGCACAGUUACAGAUGCAGAGCCCACACACAAAUUGAAAAUAAUCUAAGGCCCAGUAAAAAUAAAAACUAAAUUGUAACCCAUAGCAGAAAAACUCUAAACCCUACAUGUAGAUACGAUCCAGUGCAUCAUAAUUUUCACAGCCUCUCAAUUGAGCUGCUGGUCACCUAAGAAAGAAAAUCACCACCAGGCUUGAUCUGAUCUCCCAAAUAGUAACCUUACAGCCUUAGCAACCCACGCUAAAGCUCAAGAUAAGAUGAAGGCAAGCAGCAAUCCAAGAGAGAGAGGAGACACAAAAGCUCCAUAUACACACAUGCAACCACACUGUUUAUUGACGGGAAAUCUUUUUUAAUAAAAUAAUUUAAUAUUAUUUUUAAUUUUAAUUUAGAAAAUAAAAUAUUAAUAAAUUUAUAUAUGUAAGUGUUGAUAAAAAUUUUAAAAAGUAAAAAAUGACUUAUUUUUAAAAUUUUUUUUACUAUUCUAAAUAUAAAAAAUUAUUAAAAAAAAAUAUUAUUAUAAAAAAUAGUUUUCGUAAAAUAAAUGGCACCUAAAAGUUGUAACCUUUUUCUUUUUCCACUCAUGGUAGUUGAAAUGCUCUCUUUGGUUGGGCUUUGAGUUUGAAUCUUAUUAUUUUGUGGGCGUAGUUAGAGCUUUGCUCUUAUUGGAUUUGCGCGUGUGCCCCUUUAUGAUGGGUCUUACACCAAUUAUGCUUUAAUAAAUCCUAUUUUCAUUUUUGUAAAACAUAUUAUUAGCAUUGAUUUACUCAUUUUUCAAAUUGUGAGAAAUAUCAAUAAAUCUAAAUUUUAUAAUAUCAAAGUUAUUUCGUUUCAAGUUAAAAAAAAUUAGAAACAUCAACUUCUUGUACAUUACAUUCUUCUAUUACAAAGAAAGGGGAAAAUCCAUUAAAAAUCAUUAAUUAGAAACUAUUCUAGGCCAAGCCACGCCUUAAGCAUUCUCUUGAAGUAGAGAAAUAACUGCAGAUAGGAGGAAACUAUAAAACAUCCAAAUUUGAACUGCUAGACCAUUGAAUCAUAACGAAGAACAAUAUUUCAGAUGUACAACUUUAAUCCAUUAAAACUAAUAUCGGCAACUUACGACCAGAAAUCUAUCUUCCAAGCCUCCUACUUGACAUUCAAAAGACAACUGAUUAAAUAAGAACCAUAAGAAUUACCACUAGCUGAUGGCUUCAAUGCAAGCCACGUCAGGAAACUGAAUUUCUAAAGCAAAAUUGCCUGCAGCUGCUACAUAGUACAAAGAAAAGGGGUAAAAAACAUUCUUCACAUCUAUCUGAAUCUGGAACGCUUGGCCAAGCUGCUACUAGGAGGGGCUCGAGACUUCCCAAGUUUCUUCAUUUUCCUUCUAUUCCUCUCCACCUCACUGUCUGACUCAUCCCCUUUCUCCCUGUCCGCAUUGCUUGCUUCCCUCUCUAACUCUUCCCAUGUCUUGCCCUUUUCUUCCUCAGAAUCGUCAUCUGAAUCAUCAUCCUCCUCAUCAUCAUCAGAUUCCACCAAUGACUCACUAUCAGAGUCAUCAUCUUCUGACUCAGACUCAGGUUCGGCGUCUGAUGGCUCAUAACCCUUGUCUGAAUCCUCGGAAUUCUCAGAGUCUGAAUCACUUGCUUCCAGAUUCAAAAAUUCCCAACCCCCUUCAUCUAUGAAACUCUGAGGGUCAUCAGUAAUUGUCUUCAGUAUCUGCCGCCAGUUCAAAUUCAACUUGCUCUCGUAAUACUUGAUGUCUGUAGUGUCGAGCCAUUCCUUUAUACCAUCCAGUGAUGUCGAUGGAAUAGAAUCAAUCCUAAGGACAUCUCGCUUGAAAUCCUUAAACACAAUGGUCAUAUCAAAAUUUUUCUGUCCAAGACCAACUCUCUCCAAGUUCACAAUCUCAAUCUCACUUAGGGUGACAACAAGGAAAGGAGUCUCAAUUAGCUCGACCAAGCAGCUUGAAGUUGGGAUGAUGAAAGAUGAGGUUUUGUAGGGCACCCCAUGGAAGCCAAGCUCUCUCAAAGGCUGAUCAAACUCAAGGUCGAGUCCACUAAACUGCGGUUGGCUCCAGAGAUCGUUCACCCGAUUUACAAAGCUCUGAAAAUCCAUAUUGAUCUUAUUCUUCCUGUCUCUUUCCCUUUGCUCUUCUUCAAUUUCAUCAGGGUCAUAUGCAGACCUCUUUCCGCCUCCCAAAGUCUGGACCGACUCCAUCACUUCUACAUAAAACUGCACAUCCUUGGUUUUCUUGUUCCCUACCAUGAUAUGAUUGUGAAGGUGAAAGUGGAGAAGAGUGAUCAUUUCCCUCUCUGCAGGCUGGAAAAAAGUAUGUUUGAUGUUUGCAAACAUAACAUCCACGCGCUCAUCAUUUCUACUGGUUGAAAAUCUAAAUCCAUUUACAUGAGCUUCCAGAGCACCAGGUAGUUUUCUUCCCCGGCCACCAAAUGCCGGACGGAUCCAAAGGUCUGCCAACCUUAUUGGCUUGAAUCUACUCCCCGCAAGCUGAAGUUUCUCCUGAGUAACCAAGGUUGCCCUCUCAGCCCUCUCAGACUCCCUAGCCACAACAUGCCGUCUAAGUGUCUUAAUCUGCUGUACCACUUCGCUGAUGUGCCUAGGGUCCUUCGACCGAAAUGAAACCUCCUUAAGGUAAAUAGCCCCUGGAUACUUCAGUGAAUUAGCAUCAUGUGG